GGGAUAUUUGGGGUUGUUUGCUUUCCGAUAUCAAGCAGAGAAUCUAAAAUGCAUAUUUAAAUUUGACAGGCAGCCCCGAUUGGAGAGGAGACAUUCUGGUCCGCUGGGCACAUUUAGACAUGAUUUUUGUGUGUAUUUCCAGAGGUUUUUUUCCCCAGCUGUCUCAAUGCAUAUUCACAUCUGGGACCAGAGUAGUCUCUGGGGGAAAUAACACGUUUUCAGUGAAGCAGAGGUUUCCUCUGCUGGCACAGCCGGGGAGAGGGGGCAGAGCAGCACAGAGUGAGGAGCAUCCCUGCUCCCACCAUGGGUGCUCCACCACCAGAGCAGCCUCCAUGGGGCAGAUCACAAAUUCACAGAGCUCUGUCUCCCUGCUCCUCCAGGUCUUGAGGACCAUCUUUCCCAACCCCAUCGUCCCACAAGCUGUGCACACACCCCCAAGGACCAUCCCACCCAGAAGUCCUGGGACCUCUGCACCUCUCUGCAGGGCUCUGACUUUGCAAGGAGCCCAAGUGAUGCCUGCUCACACUGGGAGGUGUAGGAGAGCAGAGUGGGAGCACUGGGAUGGGCAGGAAGGGGAGCAGGAGAGUCUGGAUAGGGAGCAGAAUGGUUGGCAGGGGCGGAAUGGGGAGCAGAAAGGUUUGGAUGAAAGGGAUGCUGAGAUGGGCACGAUGGGGAGCAAAAGGGUUGGUAGGAGCAGGAAGAGAGCAGAAGGGUUUGGAUGAAAGGGAUGCUGAGGUGGGCAGGAUGGGGAGCAGGAGCUCUGGGAUGGGCAGGAUGGGGAGCAGAAGGGUUUGGAUGAAAGGGAUGCUGAGGUGGGCAGGAUGGGGAGCAGGAGCUCUGGGAUGGGCAGGAUGGGGAGCAGAAGGGUUUGGAUGAAAGGGAUGCUGAGGUGGGCAGGAUGGGGAGCAGGAGCUCUGGGAUGGGCAGGAUGGGGAGCAGAAGGGUUUGGAUGAAAGGGAUGCUGAGGUGGGCAGGAUGGGGAGCAGGAGCUCUGGGAUGGGCAGGAUGGGGAGCAGAAGGGUUUGGAUGAAAGGGAUGCUGAGGUGGGCAGGAUGGGGAGCAGGAGCUCUGGGAUGGGCAGGAUGGGGAGCAGAAGGGUUUGGAUGAAAGGGAUGCUGAGGUGGGCAGGAUGGGGAGCAGGAGCUCUGGGAUGGGCAGGAUGGGGAGCAGAAGGGUUUGGAUGAAAGGGAUGCUGAGGUGGGCAGGAUGGGGAGCAGGAGCUCUGGGAUGGGCAGGAUGGGGAGCAGAAGGGUUUGGAUGAAAGGGAUGCUGAGGUGGGCAGGAUGGGGAGCAGGAGCUCUGGGAUGGGCAGGAAGGGCAGCAGAGGAAGGAAACAGAAAUUUCCCAAAGCAGCCGCUCCUGUGGGUUUCACCCCCGUGCCCUCUCCGCAGCGCCCGCCCCAGGCAGCCCCCCCAGCCUCCUCCCGCCGCACUCCCUCCUUCCUGUCCCCUCCCUCGGGGUGUGUGUGUGCUCUGCUGAAUGAAAGGCUACCCUUUUCUCCUUGACAUCUUGUUAGAAUGUGAAUACAACAGCUAUUGAUUUGCAUUUCGUGCAAGGAGAGAAAAAAAAAACCUAGCUUUUUUCUUUUUCUUUUUCUUUUUCUUUUUCUUUUUCUUUUUUUUUUUUGGGGGGGGGGGGGGGGGGGGGGGUUUUUUUAAAGGCUCUCUGAACUCAGAGCUCCUGCAGGAAUAAACAACCUGGAUGGGGCUUGGAGCAACCUGGUCUAGUGAGAAGUGUCCCUGCCCAUAGAUACCAACCCAAACCAUCCCGUGAUUCUGUAAAUGGAGCACCAACCACCCCCAGCUCUGCAGGGAGAGCACAAGGACCAUCCUCCCCAGGCACUUCUUCAUCAAAGGGCAAACACUUCGAGUUACCCCUGGCUGGGCCAGCAGCAUCCACCCAGCCCCGGGGGGAAGGCAAAUAAAAGAAUUAAGCUGGACACAAGGCAAGUAAAUGAGCAAGAAAAGCCAAGGGAGAAGCAGGCUGGGGCUGGGAGGAGACAGAGCAAGCAGCACUGCUCACCUCUUGAAGGUCCUGGCUUGCAGUGCCAUCACUCAGGCUCUUCCCACGCAGGUCCCCAACCAUUGUGACACACAGACACCAACUGUCCUGCUGCCCUUCCGUGGGGAGAGUGUCCCACUGCUGCAAACCAGGGCGAGCACACCCAGCAAGCAGGGGAGAAAUGAGGGUGCUGGCAUCAGUGGCUGAGGGCAAGCCGCGAUGCAUCACCUCCCCCAGCGGGUUGCUGGGGGGAUUAAUUAGUGUUUGCAAAGCACUUUGAAGAUAAAUGAGACUGUGGGAGAGCUCCUAACCAGGAGAGAGGGGGAGAUGGAGAUCUGGAACCCAGGUAUGGUGUGGUUUCUUAUCUGGAGUGCAAGCUGCAGCCCUGGCUGGGCUGGCACCACGCGGGUGCAGAUGAAAGGUGGAAUAGGAAAAUUUCCGCAGCAUGAAAAAAAAGAGAAAUCAUGCGCAUGCUGCUUGGGAAAAAUGAGUGAGAGAGAGAUGAAAAGAUGGGAUCUAAGUCUUUAAAAGCUGUAGAGACCUGCUAUUGAUUCUGGCUUGGGAAGAAGGGGGCUGAACAAGAGCUGGUGUGUUGUUAAGUGCACUUAUCUCCUCUUGUUAGAUGGCAGAACGGGGCCAGAUGGACAGGGCCCUAAUUCCCAUCAAGAAUCAUUACCCACGGCAUGCUGGAUGAGGCACCUCCAAAGAUGUGCUGUGAGCACUGGAAAACGUGGCAGCACCACGAGGUCGGGACCCCACAGUGUCCCUGGACAGCCCAUUCCAGUGCUGGAGCACCACUUCCCUGAAAC
Ficedula albicollis (Collared flycatcher) is the source of this 2810-nucleotide long non-coding RNA. Lineage: Eukaryota; Metazoa; Chordata; Aves; Passeriformes; Muscicapidae. The record is from Ensembl.